This is a non-coding RNA of Camellia sinensis, 715 nucleotides long. The record is from RefSeq and is a predicted model, not a curated record. NCBI's taxonomy places the organism in Eukaryota, Viridiplantae, Streptophyta, Magnoliopsida, Ericales, Theaceae.
UUGAUGACUCAGGUAUCCUCACAGCCGAAGCAUGAGACUAAUCCUGAGGGCCCUGAAGUUAACGACCGGGCAAACCUCCAGUGGCCCGCACAGUAACCCGUGGGGAGUGGGAUUCGAACUUGGGACCUCCAGGAGGAGCAAACUCCCAGACCCCAGGUUUUCUUCCCUCACCCACUGGGCCACCCUUGCGGGUUCUGUGGUCUAAGGGUUUGUUGAGUUGAGUUGAGUUUUUGAGGUCUGGGGACUCUGAUGGUGUAUCAUUCUUGUUCACAUCUCUUGUAAUUGUAAUGAACGUUAGUUAAUAUGGAGGCUUUGGAAUGAGGGCAUAAUUACUUUACAUCUGCAGGGCCCUUUAGGUAAUUUGGACAACUGAUGAACAAAUUUGAGUCUGAAGUUUGGUGUGCUCAUCAAGUUUCAUUAUAGUCAUCUGCUCCGGUUGCGGUGUCCUAUAUGUUGGCGUUUAUAUUGGGAGAGCAAACUUUAGGGUACUUUGUUAAUAAAGCUGGAGAAUUAUCUUAGGACCUUGUUCCGUGGAAUUUAAUUUUUUCAGAGAACUCAAUUUUGUUGAAAAAACAUUGCAGUUUUAUAUGAGGAUUGUGUGAAGCCUUAGAAUCUUGAGAUUCUUUAUUAUCGGCGUUAAAUUUGUGGCACACCGAGUAUAGUUGGUAUUUAGUGGCAUCUUCGAUAAGAAAUGACUGGUACAAUUUAUAUCUUA